UUUGAUCUCGUAAACCUCUCUUUUGUCAUCAGCACCUGCUCCUCACUUUCUCCACAAGUGAAAGGAGAUGUACCACACAUCUCAAGGCUCGUUCGAUCUUCGAACACCAAAAAGAACCCUCUUUUUCUACACCAAUAAUUUGAUUCUUGCUGCCUCUGAUACCUACCCUAGGAAUAACGCUAAUCGCUUGCAUGGUCAUCCACAGGGAACCUCUGAAACCCACAAGGAUGGUGUCCAUCGGAGGAGGAGGAGGAGAAAAAAUAAUAAUAAUAAUAAAAUGGAAAAAAAAUGAAAGAGCCAGUCCAUUAAGGUUGAAUAAUGCUUGACCCACUAAUUGCAGAUGAGACCUUCUUUUUCUACCUACAACUCCAAUAUGUUGAAUUUAACGAGGCAGAUUAGUUGGAAAUGCUGGAAUUGCUCCAAGGUUGGUGACAUGCUGCCAAAAGGAGUCAAGUGCUUAAGUUUUCUGAAUGAGGCAACAUAGUGGAAUCUCAACAACUUGAUGGGUCCUUUUGUUCUUCUCCUGCAGCAGCAGCAGCAAAGUCUGCCAUGGUAGCUGAGAGAGUUUUGGGGGAGGCAUGACAGCAAAGCAAGGAAGAGCUUUCCUUUACUCUUUUGGUACCCCAGUCUCUCUGCUUUUUCCCACCUCAGACUUGUCUUUGUUGAAUUUUGCAGGAUUGGGUUGGAAGUACAUAUACACACUAACACACACACAUACACACAUAUUUAUAUAUCAAGUUUUCUUCCUUUUUUAGAUUUUUCUCGCCUCUCUUUUUUCAUGCUGCACAUGAAUUGGGGUUCCUUGGAAGAAACCCACUUUUGCCUAGAAGCUCCUGCUGAUGCUCAGGCUUUAACAUUUACUAUUGCACUUCCCCCAGGGCACAAGCUCAUGGGCAAAGCACUGGUAGCCAGUUUCUUGAAUUGGGCACUUUCAGAGUAAAAAAACAAUGCCUGACCAGUUAGAUAUUCAUUCAUGUAAACAAUUGUUUAUACACACACACAUGUACAUAUAUGCCAACAUGGCUCAUAGCUUUAGUAUGUGACUUUGUCUUUGAAGGGGGCAAAGUUGUAAUUUGAUAGCACAACAGUGGGUACUGUCCAUCCCAAGGGAAUUUUUUUUGUGAUCAGUGGCUCGGAUGUUGAGAGAGGCUGGACAUGUGACAAGUUCUCAAACAAUUCCCAGAUUCAUGCUCAUGUCAUGUGACAAGAGGGGGGCAGGCAGGCAACAAAAAAUAAAAAGAACUAAUAAGAACAAAGAAAAUCAACAACCCCAGCCAACUGAAGAAAACAUUAAACAAAAAACAAAAAAAACGCACCCGUAUUUUCAAAAGUCAAGUUCGUUAAGUUUGUUUUUCAGGUAUGAGAAUCAUCCAUUUGAUUUGUGGUGGCGGUGGGUCCCUACAUAUAACAGAAAACACACACACACAUAAUCGGGCUCCCAUGUUCUUUAACUACAUUAAUCUUUGCCCAAUGGCCACAUGCUUUGGAAUUCCUUUGAAAAGUUUCAAAGAAAUUGUACGAGAAGUUGGGAGACAAAUAUAUUGUCAAAGCCUUUUCCUUC
RNAcentral lists this long non-coding RNA (1561 nucleotides) under Physcomitrium patens. RNAcentral's name for it is "long non-coding RNA (PPAT_LNC005785)". The record is from RNAcentral. Lineage: Eukaryota; Viridiplantae; Streptophyta; Bryopsida; Funariales; Funariaceae.